Molecule: transfer RNA, 72 nt
Filed under: Fukomys damarensis (Damara mole-rat)
Lineage: Eukaryota; Metazoa; Chordata; Mammalia; Rodentia; Bathyergidae
Rfam family: tRNA
About the family: Transfer RNA (tRNA) molecules are approximately 80 nucleotides in length. Their secondary structure includes four short double-helical elements and three loops (D, anti-codon, and T loops).
Source: Rfam by way of RNAcentral
GGGGAUGUAGCUCAGUGGUAGAGCAUGUGCUUAGCAUGCAUGAGAACAUGGGUUCUAUCCCCAGGACUCUCA